AUUCGGGAGGUGACGCAGUGGUAGCGUGUUCGCUUUGGGAGCCACAAGUCAUAGGUUCAAAUCCUAUUCUCUUGAUU
RNAcentral lists this transfer RNA (77 nucleotides) under Pylaiella littoralis. RNAcentral describes it as "tRNA-Pro". It matches the Rfam family "tRNA". Rfam says of the family: Transfer RNA (tRNA) molecules are approximately 80 nucleotides in length. Their secondary structure includes four short double-helical elements and three loops (D, anti-codon, and T loops). The record is from RNAcentral. Lineage: Eukaryota; Phaeophyceae; Ectocarpales; Acinetosporaceae.